UUGGUUAAGUUAGAAAGGGCGCACGGUGGAUGCCUUGGCACUAGGAGCCGAAGAAGGACGGGACUAACACCGAUAUGCUUUGGGGAGCUGUACGUAAGCGUUGAUCCAGAGAUUUCCGAAUGGGGGAACCCACUAUCUUUAGUCGGAUAGUAUCCUUACGUGAAUACAUAGCGUGAGGAAGGCAGACCCAGGGAACUGAAACAUCUAAGUACCUGGAGGAAGAGAAAGAAAAAUCGAUUUCCUGAGUAGCGGCGAGCGAAACGGAAAGAGCCCAAACCAAGAAGCUUGCUUCUUGGGGUUGUAGGACACUCUAUACGGAGUUACAAAAGAAAGUUAUAAAUGAAGCGGUCUGGAAAGGCCCGCCAAAGACGGUAACAGCCCGGUAGUUGAAAUGGCUUUCCCUCCAGAGUGGAUCCUGAGUACGGCGGAACACGUGAAAUUCCGUCGGAAUCCGGGAGGACCAUCUCCCAAGGCUAAAUACUCCCUAGUGACCGAUAGUGAACCAGUACCGUGAGGGAAAGGUGAAAAGCACCCCGGAAGGGGAGUGAAACAGUUCCUGAAACCGUGUGCCUACAAGUAGUUAGAGCCCGUUAAUGGGUGAUAGCGUGCCUUUUGUAGAAUGAACCGGCGAGUUACGAUUUGUUGCAAGGUUAAGCGGAAAAAGCGGAGCCGUAGCGAAAGCGAGUCUGAAUAGGGCGCAUAAGUAACAGGUCGUAGACCCGAAACCAGGUGAUCUACCCAUGUCCAGGAUGAAGGUAAGGUAAUACUUACUGGAGGUCCGAACCCACGCACGUUGAAAAGUGCGGGGAUGAGGUGUGGGUAGCGGAGAAAUUCCAAUCGAACUUGGAGAUAGCUGGUUCUCUCCGAAAUAGCUUUAGGGCUAGCCUCGAGGUAAAGAGUCAUGGAGGUAGAGCACUGUUUGGACUAGGGGCCCUUCUCGGGUUACCGAAUUCAGAUAAACUCCGAAUGCCAUGUACUUAUACUCGGGAGUCAGACUGCGAGUGAUAAGAUCCGUAGUCGAAAGGGAAACAGCCCAGACCACCAGUUAAGGUCCCCAAAUAUAUGUUAAGUGGAAAAGGAUGUGGGGUUGCUUAGACAACCAGGAUGUUGGCUUAGAAGCAGCCACCAUUGAAAGAGUGCGUAAUAGCUCACUGGUCGAGUGACCCCGCGCCGAAAAUGUACCGGGGCUAAACAUAUUACCGAAACUGUGGAUGAACCUCUUUAGAGGUUCGUGGUAGGAGAGCGUUCUAAGGGCGGUGAAGUCAGACCGGAAGGACUGGUGGAGCGCUUAGAAGUGAGAAUGCCGGUAUGAGUAGCGAAAGAAGGGUGAGAAUCCCUUCCACCGAAUAUCUAAGGUUUCCUGAGGAAGGCUCGUCCGCUCAGGGUUAGUCGGGACCUAAGCCGAGGCCGAUAGGCGUAGGCGAUGGACAACAGGUAGAGAUUCCUGUACCAGUGCUAAUUGUUUAACCGAUGGGGUGACACAGAAGGAUAGGGAAUCGCACGAAUGGAAAUGUGCGUCCAAGCAGUGAGUGUGAGAAGUAGGCAAAUCCGCUUCUCGCGAAGCAUGAGCUGUGAUGGGGAAGGAAAUUAAGUACGGAAGUUCCUGAUUUCACGCUGUCAAGAAAAGCCUCUAGGAAGAGUAGUACUGCCCGUACCGCAAACCGACACAGGUAGAUGAGGAGAGAAUCCUAAGGUGAGCGAGAGAACUCUCGUUAAGGAACUCGGCAAAAUGACCCCGUAACUUCGGGAGAAGGGGUGCUCUAUUAGGGUGCAAGCCCGAGAGAGCCGCAGUGAAUAGGCCCAGGCGACUGUUUAGCAAAAACACAGGUCUCUGCAAAACCGUAAGGUGACGUAUAGGGGCUGACGCCUGCCCGGUGCUGGAAGGUUAAGAGGAGUGCUUAGCUUCGGUGAAGGUACGAAUUGAAGCCCCAGUAAACGGCGGCCGUAACUAUAACGGUCCUAAGGUAGCGAAAUUCCUUGUCGGGUAAGUUCCGACCCGCACGAAAGGCGCAACGAUCUGGGCACUGUCUCAACGAGAGACUCGGUGAAAUUAUAGUACCUGUGAAGAUGCAGGUUACCCGCGACAGGACGGAAAGACCCCGUGGAGCUUUACUGCAACCUGAUAUGGAAUGUUUGUACCGCUUGUACAGGAUAGGUAGGAGCCGAAGAGACGUGUGCGCUAGCAUACGAGGAGGCAAUGGUGGGAUACUACCCUGGCUGUAUGACCAUUCUAACCCGCCACGCUUAGCGCGUGGGGAGACAGUGUCAGGUGGGCAGUUUGACUGGGGCGGUCGCCUCCUAAAGAGUAACGGAGGCGCCCAAAGGUUCCCUCAGAAUGGAUGGAAAUCAUUCGCAGAGUGUAAAGGCACAAGGGAGCUUGANGGAGGCGCCCAAAGGUUCCCUCAGAAUGGAUGGAAAUCAUUCGCAGAGUGUAAAGGCACAAGGGAGCUUGACUGCGAGACUGACAAGUCGAGCAGGGACGAAAGUCGGGCUUAGUGAUCCGGUGGUUCCGCAUGGAAGGGCCAUCGCUCAACGGAUAAAAGCUACCCCGGGGAUAACAGGCUUAUCUCCCCCAAGAGUCCACAUCGACGGGGAGGUUUGGCACCUCGAUGUCGGCUCGUCGCAUCCUGGGGCUGUAGUCGGUCCCAAGGGUUGGGCUGUUCGCCCAUUAAAGCGGCACGCGAGCUGGGUUCAGAACGUCGUGAGACAGUUCGGUCCCUAUCCGUCGCGGGCGCAGGAAAUUUGAGAGGAGCUGUCCUUAGUACGAGAGGACCGGGAUGGACACACCGCUGGUGUACCAGUUGUUCCGCCAGGAGCAUCGCUGGGUAGCUAUGUGUGGCAGGGAUAAACGCUGAAAGCAUCUAAGCGUGAAGCCCCCCUCAAGAUGAGAUUUCCCAUUUCUUCGGAAAGUAAGAUCCCUGAAAGAUGAUCAGGUAGAUAGGUUUGGAGUGGAAGUGUAGCGAUACAUGGAGCGGACAAAUACUAAUCGAUCGAGGACUUAACCAAAA
RNAcentral lists this ribosomal RNA (3008 nucleotides) under Listeria monocytogenes. RNAcentral describes it as "bacterial LSU rRNA". It matches the Rfam family "Bacterial large subunit ribosomal RNA". The record is from RNAcentral. Lineage: Bacteria; Bacillati; Bacillota; Bacilli; Caryophanales; Listeriaceae.